Schistocerca gregaria is the source of this 355-nucleotide long non-coding RNA. RefSeq lists it as uncharacterized. The record is from RefSeq and is a predicted model, not a curated record. The transcript has 3 exons. Lineage: Eukaryota; Metazoa; Arthropoda; Insecta; Orthoptera; Acrididae.
CGCCACCUGCUGCAGCGACCAGACAAUGGCAGCGGCGUGUCCUGUGUGCUGGUGGUGGCUGGUGGCGCUAUAAAUACGACGUGGGCGCGCGCCGCCCAGGCAGUGGCUGAGGAACGGCUGGACGCUGCAGACUGCACGCCGCAGCCGAACACAGGUGAUCAGUGACACAUACUGAAUGUCCCAGAACAGCCCUUCAUCUGGUACCUCAGAACAUUGACUGUCUUGCAGAGGGCUUGUGACAGAAAGAAGGGACACUGUUCUGUGACUAGAUGGAUAUUUCAAUUGCAAAUACCGAGAACCUUCCAAUUUAACACGAGAGCUCAUCUGUGCAGCAAGUAGACUGUGUACUGGAAAG